UUUUAAGACAGGUCUUACUAUGUUGCCCAAGCUGGUCUUGAACUCCUGAACUCAAGCUGUCCUCUCACUUCAGCCUCCCUAAUAGCUGGGAUCAUUGCACCUGACACGUGCAAUGUCACACACCUAUGAUCCCAGCUAUUGUCUCAUCUCACUGAACCUAAUCUAUCUUUCCAAAUACAAUUUGAGGUAUAGAUUAGGAAGUCACCAGUAUACUCAUGAUAGUAGAAGCCAUGGGAAUGGAUAAGGUAAUCCACGUACAGUAUGUAUUACAGAAUGAGAAUAAAAUUCCUAGGAUAGAACUCUGAGGAGCACCAAGAUUUAAGAGGGAGGCAGAAAAAGUAGAGUCAGCUAAGGAAAUUGAGAAGAAAUGGUGACAGCAGAAAUAGCAUAAACAUAUGUGAUUAGGAGCCAGAGGAGGAAAGAAAGGAAGGAAAAGCUGUGGCCACCUGUGCCAAAUGCUGCUGAAAGAGAGAGGCCAAUUAACAUGAGGACUGGAAAGAGUUGACUGGAUUUGGCAAUUAAGAGAUCAUAAUCUUGGUGGAGACCUUUGCUGUAUUAGUUUUCUAUUGCUGCCUAACAUAUCACACAUUUAGAGGCUUAAAACAAUACACAUUUAUCUUAUAGUUUCUAUGGGUUAAAAGCUUGGACAUGUUUUAUCAAGGUUCUCUGCUUCAAGGUCUCACCAGGCUGUAAUCCAGGUAUUGGCUGGGGUUGUGUUCUUAUCAGAGGCUUGACUAGGAGAAGAUAUACUUCCAAAUUCCCUCUGGUUGUUGGAUGAACUCAUUUCUUGGUUAGGCAGAACUACAUUUUCCAGAAUUAUCUUCCCUCAAUGUUCUGGUUAGGGUAAGCCACAAGUCUUGAGCAAAAUUUGGAGGAUAAAUGUGAAGCAGCAGCUGUUUUAUAGCUCAUACAUGUGUUAGCUCACAAGCUGCAGCUGGACAACUUCCCAUCCCUUCCCUGGAUCACUCAUUUCUCUAACCAGGUUUCUCUAAACCACAUGUUUGUGUUGGAUAUGGGGUUACACAGGACAACCACUAUCAAGGCCAGAGAUGAUAAAAACGGACAUGGGUUUGUCUGUGCUUGUUACUUCCACUUGUUCUUAACUGCCUCCCAUUUUACACCCGUCUUCCCUUAACUGACUGCCGUGUGGACUCUAAGCUCCAGCAUCAGAAAGAACACUAACAGCUUUACAGAUGGUGUUUUAUAAUUUUUUGUUUAAUCAAUUUGAAAUAACUGCUGAUCCAAUCAAAUUAUCUUUAAGUAACAAAGAUAUCAAUCUGAUUUCAAUAUUAGAUUAGUACAUUAGCUACCAAUAUUGACUCAAAUGAUUAUUACAUAAAAUCUUAGGAAGUCAAUGAAAAUAGCAAUUACCCAUGAUAAAUAUUUUCAAAUAUUUCCUAUUGCGUAAUUUGUCCAUUUGAAUACAAAUAAAUCCUUGUACAAGUAUGGGAGAAUCAAAUGCAGAUAAACCUAUGAAGGGAAGAAUUUUCUAAUUUAUCUACAGGAUUUUUCUUCAAUUUAAAAAAAGAUUGUAAAAUACACAUAAAAUUUACCAUUUUUAAGUGUACCAUUUAAGAACAGUAUUAAAUACAUCCUUAAUGUGCCACCAUCACCACUAUCCAGCUCCAUAACUCAUCCUGUAAAACUGCAUAACGUCCUCAAGGUUCAUUCAUGCUGUAGCCAGUGUCAGAAUUUUCUUCCUUGAAGUGGAAUAAUAUUCCAUUGCAUGGAUAUACUACAUUUUGCUUAUCCAUUCAUCUACUGAUGGCCGAUUGGGCUGCUUCUAUGUUUUAGCUAUUGUGAACAAUGGCUGCUAUCACCAUGGAACACAAGUAUCUCUUCAAGACCCUGCUUUUAAUUUUUUUGAGUAUAUAUGUCGACUGGGAUUGCUGGAUCAUGGUAUUUCCAU
Molecule: long non-coding RNA, 1909 nt
Filed under: Homo sapiens (human)
Lineage: Eukaryota; Metazoa; Chordata; Mammalia; Primates; Hominidae
Description: non-protein coding lnc-WDR77-2:1
Source: RNAcentral